GCCAGGGUGGUGUAGUGGUCUGAGUGUUAGAUCUGGACUCUAAGAGACCAGGGUUCAAAUUCUUGCUUGGCCA
Molecule: non-coding RNA, 73 nt
Organism: Phrynosoma platyrhinos (Desert horned lizard)
Lineage: Eukaryota; Metazoa; Chordata; Lepidosauria; Squamata; Phrynosomatidae
Source: the annotation of a GenBank genome assembly